Molecule: ribosomal RNA, 805 nt
Filed under: uncultured bacterium
Lineage: Bacteria
Description: bacterial SSU rRNA
Rfam family: Bacterial small subunit ribosomal RNA
Source: RNAcentral
AGAGUUUGAUCCUGGCUCAGGAUGAACGCUAGCGGGAGGCUUAACGCAUGCAAGUCGAGGGGUAAGGUAGCAAUAUCUGAGACCGGCGCACGGGUGAGUAACGCGUAGAUAAUCUGCCUGAUGAUCUGGGAUAACACUUCGAAAGGGGUGCUAAUACCGGAUAAGCCCACGGGGUCUUUGGAUUCUGCGGGAAAAGGGGGGGACCUUCGGGCCUUCUGUCAUCAGAUGAGUCUGCGUACCAUUAGCUAGUUGGUAGGGUAAUGGCCUACCAAGGCUACGAUGGUUAGCUGGUUUGAGAGAAUGAUCAGCCACACUGGAACUGAGACACGGUCCAGACUCCUACGGGAGGCAGCAGUGGGGAAUUUUGCGCAAUGGGCGAAAGCCUGACGCAGCAACGCCGCGUGAGUAAUGAAGGCUUUCGGGUCGUAAAGCUCUGUCGAUGGGAAAGAAGUGUAUUGUGGCUAAUAUCCACGAUACUUGACGGUACCCAUAAAGGAAGCACCGGCUAACUCCGUGCCAGCAGCCGCGGUAAUACGGGGGGUGCAAGCGUUGUUCGGAAUUAUUGGGCGUAAAGAGCGUGUAGGCGGUUUGUUAAGUCUGUUGUGAAAGCCCUGGGCUCAACCCAGGAAGUGCACUGGAUACUGGCAGACUUGAAUACGGGAGAGGGUAGUGGAAUUCCUAGUGUAGGAGUGAAAUCCGUAGAUAUUAGGAGGAACACCGGUGGCGAAGGCGGCUACCUGGACCGAUAUUGACGCUGAGACGCGAAAGCGUGGGUAGCAAACAGGAUUAGAUACCCUGGUAGUCC